This 561-nucleotide long non-coding RNA is filed under the name Androctonus crassicauda. The record is from RNAcentral. Lineage: Eukaryota; Metazoa; Arthropoda; Arachnida; Scorpiones; Buthidae.
GUAUCUAGAUGAUUUGUUUGAAAAAAUUCCUAAACUCUGAUAGCAAAAUGUGCAGGGACUCUAUCUUGUAGCAGGAUUAUGGCAGCUGCUAUUCCAAUUGCCAUAAGCUAUGGAUAGAGCUAUGGUCAAAAUAUGUCUUCAUAUGACUGCCAAUUAACAGGAUCAUCAAACAAAAAUAAGGUCCAAUAAGGUCUAAUAUGCCUUGGAUUCAUGCUAACUCAGAUCAUAGCUUGUGGUGGAUUCUUUUCCACUUCCUGCAAGUGGCAACCAAAUGCUGUUCAACAGAAUAUGCAUUUCUGUCGAUCAUCAUUACCAACAUUGUUCUUCAAACUGAUGCAGGCUUGCCAUCACAAAAUUUCUCAUUGAAUGUGGCAUGGUAUUCAGUUGUAAUUAUGAUAACAAUGGCACUCAUACUGAUAUUCUGGAUAUGAUGAUCAAUAAAAAUAAAAAAAAGACAAUAUCUGUUGUUUUUAUGAAAUAAAUGGAGUUUAACACUUUGCGCUCCUUUGCCUAGCCUGGCAAGACAAACUUCUGCGUAGCUUCCGCUACAAUGUCUUGCUC